This 238-nucleotide ribosomal RNA is filed under the name uncultured bacterium. RNAcentral describes it as "partial 16S ribosomal RNA". It matches the Rfam family "Bacterial small subunit ribosomal RNA", at positions 524 to 761 of the family's 1533-position model. The record is from RNAcentral.
GACAGAGGGUGCAAACGUUGUUCGGAAUUACUGGGCGUAAAGCGCGUGUAGGCGGCAGCGUGUGUCGGGCGUGAAAUCCCACGGCUCAACCGUGGAAGUGCACCCGAAACUGCGCAGCUAGAGUCCUGGAGAGGAAGGCGGAAUACUUGGUGUAGAGGUGAAAUUCGUAGAUAUCAAGUGGAACACCGGUGGCGAAGGCGGCCUCUGGACAGUGACUGACGCUGAGACGGCGAAAGCG